Molecule: long non-coding RNA, 525 nt
Organism: Anopheles arabiensis
Lineage: Eukaryota; Metazoa; Arthropoda; Insecta; Diptera; Culicidae
Exons: 3
Source: RefSeq, a predicted model, not a curated record
CCGGAGCGGGGUGGCAGAGGUUCCGGAGGAUAUCCAGAAGCAUGGAGUGAAAAUGGAACGACGACAAACGGUCUGCUGCUUUCCAGGGAGGUCCAUCAUCAAAUUGCACUCGAAAUCGAGACGCCAAUCACCAAUGAAAUAAUAUUCAAAGCUAGGACACUUAAAUAGUUGCAGAAUGUUGAUAAUAUUCGUGUCAAAACUGAGAACCACAGCGGGAAUGCUAUUCAAGGAAAAGUUACACCACACUCUACCAUGACGUAUUCAGCGUUUUUUCAUACGGUACUUUUUCUAUCCUGCACGACCCCCGAUACUCAAGGAUGUGAAUUGAAUUGUAUCCAAUUGAAAUGGAUAUCUGAUUGGGGUAGAUAGAAAUGGCAAAACUGACAAACGCAUACACUAUCCGCAUAGGUAUCAGAGACAUGUCGUAACAACGCAGGGUGAACAUAACAAUACAUUGGAGGAUUCUCGGCCAGGAGUCACAAAGAAGGAAACCGAACGGCUAGGGAAUGAUUCGUUGUGUCAAAC